CAACAAAUGGGUCAUCGAUGGACUGUACUUUCUGGAUCCUUCACCUUGUUUUCAUUUUUACUCCAUUUGCUUCCUUUUAAUUCUGGUCAUACGUUGACUUUUGUCCUCAUCUUUUUGGCUUGUAUCAUUACCUUCUCCAGUUUUUUUCCAUCUGCAUGAACUGUUUUGAAUGGAUUGGCCUUUUAUUGAUAAUAAGUUUGAAAAGCAUGCCAUCUUGAAGUUUGUACUGGACAUUAUUGUGCAGUUGACUUUGUAGUCUGUUAGUUUCAUGAUUUACAUCAAUGUUCUGCAUGGCCUCUUUGGCUUCUCAAUACAUAUACUAUUUUUCCUGAUACAAGGCAAGGUGAAAUGGGAAAUUCAUAAGCUAUUGAUGACUAGCUCACCUGUUGCCAUCAAAUCUCUAUUGAAAAUUUAGCAAGAAAUCCAUUUGGUUUGUUGGGCCAAUUUUCAAUUGUUAUUAUCAGCUAGACCUUUCACCUUUUCUACAAGUGAUUGAACUAUUGAGCCAUCCUCUUCCAGUUUGUUUGGCAUUGAAUACAACUAAUUGUUGCUUAAGAUAUUAAGAUGUUAGCUUCUCCAUGUUCAGUGGUCUUGACAACCAAGGUU
RNAcentral lists this unclassified non-coding RNA (606 nucleotides) under Hevea brasiliensis (rubber tree). The record is from RNAcentral. Lineage: Eukaryota; Viridiplantae; Streptophyta; Magnoliopsida; Malpighiales; Euphorbiaceae.